CACGUAGUUAGCCGGGGCUUCUUAUUUAGGUACCGUCAUUUCUUUCUUCCCUAUUGAUAGAAGUUUACAAUCCGAAAACCGUCUUCCUUCACGCGGCGUUGCUGCAUCAGGCCUUCGCCCAUUGUGCAAUAUUCCCCACUGCUGCCUCCCGUAGGAGUUUGGGCCGUGUCUCAGUCCCAAUGUGGCCGGUCACCCUCUCAGGUCGGCUACUGAUCGUUGCCUUGGUGGGCUAUUAUCUCACCAACUAGCUAAUCAGAUGCGGGCCCAUCUUUUACCGAAUAAAUCCUUUCUUUCUUAGAAGAUGCCUUCCAAGAACCGUAUGCGGUAUUAGUCGUCGUUUCCAACGAUUAUUCCACAGUAAAAGGCAGGUUACCCACACGUUACUCACCCGUCCGCCGCUAAAAUAAUACAAAAGCAAGCUCUCAAUUAUUUUCGCUCGACUUGCAUGUGUUAAGCACGCCGCCAGCGUUCAUCCUGAGCCAGGAUCAAAACUC
RNAcentral lists this ribosomal RNA (494 nucleotides) under uncultured Eubacteriales bacterium. RNAcentral's name for it is "uncultured Clostridiales bacterium partial 16S ribosomal RNA". The record is from RNAcentral. Lineage: Bacteria; Bacillati; Bacillota; Clostridia; Eubacteriales.